Molecule: ribosomal RNA, 505 nt
Filed under: uncultured bacterium
Lineage: Bacteria
Description: partial 16S ribosomal RNA
Rfam family: Bacterial small subunit ribosomal RNA
Source: RNAcentral
GACGAACGCUGGCGGCGUGCCUAAUACAUGCAAGUAGAACGCACAGUUUAUACCGUAGCUUGCUACACCAUAAACUGUGAGUUGCGAACGGGUGAGUAACGCGUAGGUAACCUGCCUGGUAGCGGGGGAUAACUAUUGGAAACGAUAGCUAAUACCGCAUAAUAUUAAUUAUUGCAUGAUAAUUGAUUGAAAGAUGCAAUUGCAUCACUACCAGAUGGACCUGCGUUGUAUUAGCUAGUAGGUGAGGUAACGGCUCACCUAGGCGACGAUACAUAGCCGACCUGAGAGGGUGAGCGGCCACACUGAGACUGAGACACGGCCCAGACUCCUACGGGAGGCAGCAGUAGGGAAUCGUCGGCAAUGGACGAAAGUCUGACCGAGCAACGCCGCGUGAGUGAAGAAGGUUUUCGGAUCGUAGAGCUCUGUUGUAAGAGAAGAACGGGUGUGAGAGUGGAAAGUUCACACUGUGACGGUAUCUUACCAGAAAGGGACGGCUAACUACGUG